GUCGGGAAUAUUGCGCAAUGGAGGAAACUCUGACGCAGUGACGCCGCGUAUAGGACGAAGGUCUUCGGAUUGUAAACUAUUGUCGUUAGGGAAGAGAAAGGACAGUACCUAAGGAGGAAGCUCCGGCUAACUACGUGCCAGCAGCCGCGGUAAUACGUAGGGAGCGAGCGUUAUCCGGAUUUAUUGGGUGUAAAGGGUGCGUAGACGGGAAUUUAAGUUAGUUGUGAAAUCCCUCGGCUCAACUGAGGAACUGCAACUAAAACUGGAUUUCUUGAGUGCUGGAGAGGAAAGCGGAAUUCCUAGUGUAGCGGUGAAAUGCGUAGAUAUUAGGAGGAACACCAGUGGCGAAGGCGGCUUUCUGGACAGUAACUGACGUUGAGGCACGAAAGUGUGGGGAGCAAACAGGAUUAGAAACCCUAGUAGUCC
This 426-nucleotide ribosomal RNA is filed under the name uncultured bacterium. RNAcentral's name for it is "bacterial SSU rRNA". It matches the Rfam family "Bacterial small subunit ribosomal RNA", at positions 354 to 796 of the family's 1533-position model. The record is from RNAcentral.